CCCCCCACCCACCUUAGCCUGGCCGUGUGAUUAGAUAUACAGAUGGAGAUUCAUGUGAACUGAGAGGUAAUAGUGGACACACAUAACGGUGAUGACUCACACCCACACACAGAAAAUAAAUGGAGAGAGGGACAACAACAAAAAAAGUCAUCUGAGCAGAGGCGUUUUCAGGAUUUCCACAUGUUGUAUGGGGAAUACAUUUUAGCAGAGUCAGGGAAAAAUAAUGAUUUUCUUUUCUUUUUUUUAAUACCACACAAAUGACCAAAAUGAAUGGCUACUCUGACAGUGACAAACAGAGCAAUAAAAACAACCUGGACAUGAACGCAAACAAUAGCCCGGGCCAAUGACGACACGUGCUAGGUAACGACGCAAACAAUAGCCCGGGCCAAUGACGACACGUGCUAGGUAACGACGCAAACAAUAGCCCGGGCCAAUGACGACACGUGCUAGGUAACGACGCAAACAAUAGCCCGGGCCAAUGACGACACGUG
Long non-coding RNA from Oncorhynchus tshawytscha (Chinook salmon), 491 nucleotides. Lineage: Eukaryota; Metazoa; Chordata; Actinopteri; Salmoniformes; Salmonidae. The record is from Ensembl.